Long non-coding RNA from Magnolia sinica, 948 nucleotides. RefSeq lists it as uncharacterized. The transcript has 3 exons. The record is from RefSeq and is a predicted model, not a curated record. Lineage: Eukaryota; Viridiplantae; Streptophyta; Magnoliopsida; Magnoliales; Magnoliaceae.
GUGUUGAACUUCAAAUAAUGAAGGUAUUUAACUCCAAAUUUUUAAACUCACACAUAGCUUUGUUAGGAGAUGCCUUACUAUAAUCAUUUGAUGAUGAGUACAACUGGUUUUAAUGUUUUCUUUUGCUAUUGGGUUCAAUCACAGUAGUUCUCUGCCACAAUGCAUGGUAAUUGUAUGUGAUGCCUCAGGUUUCUUUCUCUUGGCUAAAAUAUGCAGGGUGCAGCUGCUUGUUUAGAAGAAUUGUUGAUUUUAGCAGUUGCUUGUUUAGAUGUACAUGGGGAUGACAGUGUGAAGUAUCCGUAAUGGAAGUUUGUUAUAAGGGUGAGCAUGCACAUGUUCCUAUAACUCAAGAAAGGUUACUGGCAAGUGAGUCUUCCACAACAUUAGACCAUUCAUGUACCGCAAGUGAUAUGUUAUUACACCACUAUUCUGCUCCAUACACUCAUCCAGAAAAAGAUGUCGCCUUCCCUUUACCAUAUUAUUUAGUUGCAUCUGUCAGGAUUAACUUUCUUACAAGUUAAUCCCUUAUAAUUGACACCAUAUAACAAAUCUUCCUUUCAUUUCCUUUUAGAAUCAGUUUUCAAUUGAAAAAUAGAUGCUUUUUACUUAGUUGUACUAUGGUCUUAUAAAACUGUACUCUUUCUUUUAAAUGUUUAAGGCAUUAUCUAUGAGGAUUCAACCUGGAUUGGAACAAAAGAUUGUUAUUCUAUGAGAUUCAUAUCUUCAAGGUUAUUUUGAUAAUGUUUCAGAGCAUCUCUGAGUAGGACCACCAUUAUAUUUUGUUGUGAAGAACUUCAACUAUAGGUGAGCAAUUGGCAAUUGCUAAGGAAACUGAGCGUUAGUUGGGAAUAGGUAUAAACUUGUACCCAUCUUCAUCUCUUCUGGGGGACAGCAAGGAUGAAUUAUUUUCGGCUCUACCUGUGGAUGAACUAAUUGAGAAAGCUGAUG